Molecule: ribosomal RNA, 425 nt
Filed under: uncultured bacterium
Lineage: Bacteria
Description: partial 16S ribosomal RNA
Rfam family: Bacterial small subunit ribosomal RNA
Source: RNAcentral
GUGGGGAAUCUUGCGCAAUGGGCGAAAGCCUGACGCAGCCAUGCCGCGUGGAUGAUGAAGGUCUUAGGAUUGUAAAAUCCUUUCACCGGUGAAGAUAAUGACUGUAGCCGGAGAAGAAGCCCCGGCUAACUUCGUGCCAGCAGCCGCGGUAAUACGAAGGGGGCUAGCGUUGCUCGGAUUUACUGGGCGUACAGGGCGCGUAGGCGGACAUUUAAGUCAGGGGUGAUAUCACGGGGCUCAACCUCGGAACUGCCUUUGAUACUGGGUGUCUUGAGUAUGAGAGAGGUGUGUGGAACUCCGAGUGUAGAGGUGAAAUUCGUAGAUAUUCGGAAGAACACCAGUGGCGAAGGCGACACACUGGCUCAUUACUGACGCUGAGGCGCGAAAGCGUGGGGAGCAAACAGGAUUAGAUACCCGUGUAGUCC